RNAcentral lists this ribosomal RNA (394 nucleotides) under Streptomyces sp. Its description in RNAcentral is "bacterial SSU rRNA". It matches the Rfam family "Bacterial small subunit ribosomal RNA", at positions 269 to 675 of the family's 1533-position model. Lineage: Bacteria; Bacillati; Actinomycetota; Actinomycetes; Kitasatosporales; Streptomycetaceae. The record is from RNAcentral.
CGAGGCGACGACGGGUAGCCGGCCUGAGAGGGCGACCGGCCACACUGGGACUGAGACACGGCCCAGACUCCUACGGGAGGCAGCAGUGGGGAAUAUUGCACAAUGGGCGAAAGCCUGAUGCAGCGACGCCGCGUGAGGGAUGACGGCCUUCGGGUUGUAAACCUCUUUCAGCAGGGAAGAAGCGAAAGUGACGGUACCUGCAGAAGAAGCGCCGGCUAACUACGUGCCAGCAGCCGCGGUAAUACGUAGGGCGCGAGCGUUGUCCGGAAUUAUUGGGCGUAAAGAGCUCGUAGGCGGCUUGUCACGUCGGUUGUGAAAGCCCGGGGCUUAACCCCGGGUCUGCAGUCGAUACGGGCAGGCUAGAGUUAGGUUUGGGAGAUCGGAAUUCCAGGUG